AUUGAACGCUGGCGGCGUGCCUAACACAUGCAAGUCGAGCGGUAACAAGGUCGUAGCAAUACAUGCUGACGAGCGGCGGACGGGUGAGUAACGCUUGGGAAUCUGCCGUAUUAGUGGGGGACAACCCGGGGAACUCGGGCUAAUACCGCAUACGCUCUACGGAGGAAAGCCGGGGACCGCAAGGCCUGGGCGCUAAUAGAUGAGCCCAAGUCGGAUUAGCUAGUU
This 225-nucleotide ribosomal RNA is filed under the name uncultured bacterium. Its description in RNAcentral is "partial 16S ribosomal RNA". It matches the Rfam family "Bacterial small subunit ribosomal RNA", at positions 30 to 250 of the family's 1533-position model. The record is from RNAcentral.